RNAcentral lists this ribosomal RNA (497 nucleotides) under uncultured bacterium. Its description in RNAcentral is "partial 16S ribosomal RNA". It matches the Rfam family "Bacterial small subunit ribosomal RNA", at positions 28 to 507 of the family's 1533-position model. The record is from RNAcentral.
GAUGAACGCUGGCGGCGUGCCUAAUACAUGCAAGUCGAGCGAACAGACGAGGAGCUUGCUCCUCUGACGUUAGCGGCGGACGGGUGAGUAACACGUGGAUAACCUACCUAUAAGACUGGGAUAACUUCGUGAAACCGGAGCUAAUACCGGAUCAUAUAUUGAACCGCAUGGUUCAAUAGUUAUAGACGGUUUUGCUGUCACUUAUAGAUGGAUCCGCGCCGCAUUAGCUAGUUGGUAAGGUAACGGCUUACCAAGGCGACGAUGCGUAGCCGACCUGAGAGGGUGAUCGGCCACACUGGAACUGAGACACGGUCCAGACUCCUACGGGAGGCAGCAGUAGGGAAUCUUCCGCAAUGGGCGAAAGCCUGACGGAGCAACGCCGCGUGAGUGAUGAAGGUCUUCGGAUCGUAAAACUCUGUUAUUAGGGAAGAACAAAUGUGUAAGUAACUAUGCACGUCUUGACGGUACCUAAUCAGAAAGCCACGGCUAACUACGUG